Molecule: ribosomal RNA, 253 nt
Filed under: uncultured bacterium
Lineage: Bacteria
Description: partial 16S ribosomal RNA
Rfam family: Bacterial small subunit ribosomal RNA
Source: RNAcentral
UACAGGGGGUGCGAGCGUUAAUCGGAAUUACUGGGCGUAAAGGGCGCGUAGGCGGUCGAGUAAGUCGGAUGUGAAAUCCCCGGGCUUAACCUGGGAAUUGCAUUCGAUACUGCUUGGCUAGAGUGUGGAAGAGGGAAGCGGAAUUUCCGGUGUAGCGGUGGAAUGCGUAGAUAUCGGAAGGAACACCAGUGGCGAAGGCGGCUUCCUGGUCCAACACUGACGCUGAGGCGCGAAAGCGUGGGGAGCAAACAGG